This 253-nucleotide ribosomal RNA is filed under the name uncultured bacterium. RNAcentral describes it as "partial 16S ribosomal RNA". It matches the Rfam family "Bacterial small subunit ribosomal RNA", at positions 524 to 776 of the family's 1533-position model. The record is from RNAcentral.
UACGUAGGUGGCAAGCGUUGUCCGGAAUUAUUGGGCGUAAAGCGCGCGCAGGUGGUUCCUUAAGUCUGAUGUGAAAGCCCACGGCUCAACCGUGGAGGGUCAUUGGAAACUGGGGAACUUGAGUGCAGGAGAGAAGAGUGGAAUUCCACGUGUAGCGGUGAAAUGCGUAGAGAUGUGGAGGAACACCAGUGGCGAAGGCGACUCUUUGGCCUGUAACUGACACUGAGGAGCGAAAGCCAGGGGAGCAAACGGG